CCGCGCCUGCGCCAAUUCCGCCCUGCCCCGCCCCCAUCUACCGACCGGAUGUUAGCAGAUUUCCCAUAGUGCCUCGCUAGUGGCGGGCAUGAUAACACACGCCGUAGGGUCGCAAGCGGUUCCAGUUGUGAUUGCUGGAGUUGUGUAUUGCCAGGAGGCUCUCCGAGAUUGGGGUCGGGUCACUGCCUCAUCCGCCGGAGCGAUGGCGUUUCUCCGAAGCAUGUGGGGCGUGCUGAGUGCCCUGGGAAGGUCUGGAGCAGAGCUGUGCACCGGCUGUGGAAGUCGACUGCGCUCCCCCUUCAGUUUUGUGUAUUUACCGAGGUGGUUUUCAUCUGUCUUGGCAAGUUGUCCAAAGAAACCUAUAAGUUCUUACCUUCGAUUUUCUAAAGAACAACUACCCAUAUUUAAAGCUCAGAACCCAGCUCCUCCUUUUUCUGGCUCAGGGAAUUGUUAAUAAAAUUGCAGCUUCUGUGGAAGCAUCCAUAAACUAUGCAAAAACUACGGAACUAAUUAGAAGAAUUGCCCAGCGUUGGAGGGAACUUCCUGAUUCAAAGAAAAAAAUAUAUCAAGAUGCUUAUAGGGCAGAGUGGCAGGUAUAUAAAGAAGAGAUAAGCAGAUUUAAAGAACAGCUAACUCCAAGUCAGAUUAUGUCUUUGGAAAAAGAAAUCACGGACAAACAUUUAAAAAGGAAAGCUAUGGCAAAAAAAAAAGAGUUAACACUGCUUGGAAAACCAAAAAGACCUCGUUCAGCUUAUAACGUUUAUGUAGCUGAAAGAUUCCAAGAAGUUCAGGGUGAUUCACCACAGGAAAAGCUGAAGACUCUAAAGGAAAACUGGAAAAAUCUGUCUGACUCUGAAAAGGAAUUAUAUAUUCAGUAUGCUAAAGAGGAUGAAACUCGUUAUCAUAAUGAAAUGAAGUCUUGGGAAGAACAAAUGAUUGAAGUUGGACGAAAGGAUCUUCUACGUCGCACAAUGAAGCAACGACGAAAAUAUGGUGCUGAGGAGUGUUAAAAGUAGAAGAUUGAGAUGUGUUCACAAUGGAUAGGCACAGGAAACCAGUUAGGUCUCAAUACCUGAAGCUAUUGUGAAAUUAAGAAAGGAUAAAAUUGGUAAACCUUUUA
Molecule: small RNA, 1120 nt
Filed under: Pongo abelii (Sumatran orangutan)
Lineage: Eukaryota; Metazoa; Chordata; Mammalia; Primates; Hominidae
Description: processed transcript
Source: RNAcentral